CAUUACUUUUUAUUUAUCUAGGAAUGUGGCUUUUCCAGGUCCAAACAACUGAACAAAGAACUAACUACAUGUUAAAAACCCAUGAAUAGUAUUUUAUAGUGAAAUGUAAACCAAUUUUUAAAACAAUUAUUCUUCUUUUAGAAUGUAUACAUAAUUUUAUAUUUACCAUUGCAUACCUAACAUUUGAUUUCUGAAAUUAUUUGUACUACUAGAAGCACAAUUUCUUAAUAUUAUACAUAUAUUGUUACAUUUAAUGUAAAUGUUAUUUUGAUAUAAAACAUGCUGGUGUGUUUAAAAUAAUAGUGAAAGUAUAUUAUCACAUUUUAUUCACAUAGACCCAAGUUUUUGUUAAUGGCUUUAUUUUUAUUUUAAAAAUGUGUGACUAUAUAGUGGAAGGAAAUAAAACAACCAUAAUGGAGAAGAUGGAAAAAAAAAAUCUCUCUUCCCCACAAGGUGGUACUGUGGUUCUUUUACUCUUUCAAAAAUCUAAGCAUAGAAUUGAUAUUUCUCCACUUGUCUUUCUUCCCCCAACAUUUUACAGGUGAUCUUCAAUUAGAUUCUAAUAAAAAUGAGAAAUAAUUUCAAAGGAAACUUGAUACUUUUAGGUUUGAAGUAACUGACAAGUAAUUAAAAAUUCUCUAUUUAG
Molecule: long non-coding RNA, 646 nt
Filed under: Bos taurus (domestic cattle)
Lineage: Eukaryota; Metazoa; Chordata; Mammalia; Artiodactyla; Bovidae
Description: long non-coding RNA NONBTAT025539
Source: RNAcentral